This 253-nucleotide unclassified non-coding RNA is filed under the name Bowmanella dokdonensis. RNAcentral describes it as "partial 16S ribosomal RNA". It matches the Rfam family "Bacterial small subunit ribosomal RNA", at positions 524 to 776 of the family's 1533-position model. RNAcentral also lists the same sequence under 1 other name. The record is from RNAcentral. Lineage: Bacteria; Pseudomonadati; Pseudomonadota; Gammaproteobacteria; Alteromonadales; Alteromonadaceae.
UACGGAGGGUGCGAGCGUUAAUCGGAAUUACUGGGCGUAAAGCGCACGCAGGCGGUCUGUUAAGUUAGAUGUGAAAGCCCCGGGCUUAACCUGGGAGUUGCAUUUAAAACUGGCAGACUAGAGUCUUGGAGAGGGGGGUGGAAUUCCAGGUGUAGCGGUGAAAUGCGUAGAGAUCUGGAGGAACAUCAGUGGCGAAGGCGGCCCCCUGGCCAAAGACUGACGCUCAUGUGCGAAAGCGUGGGUAGCGAACAGG